Molecule: long non-coding RNA, 3655 nt
Filed under: Homo sapiens (human)
Lineage: Eukaryota; Metazoa; Chordata; Mammalia; Primates; Hominidae
Description: HSALNT0346733
Source: RNAcentral
AUAGACUGGGUGGCUUAAACAACAGACAUCUUUACACAGUUCUGGAGGCCAAGGACAGUUUGCCAGCAUGGAUGGUUUCUGAGAUGAGAUCUUGCUCUGUCACCCAGACUGGAGUGCAGUGGCACGAUCAUAGCUCACUGCACCCUCAAACUCCUGGACUCAAAUCAUCCUCUACCUCUGCCUCCAUGAGUAACUGGAACUACAGGUCAACACAGAUUCUCGGAAUUAAACACUUCCAUGUCCCAGAGGAUCAAAGUCACUUGCAAAAAUACCUCAAAAUGUGUUUGUCAAGAAAUUACACUUUCUCUUGAUUUUGUGGACCACUUUCUAAUUUCCAACCCAGACAAAAGCCUCCUAGUGAAGCUGGUCUUUCCUAGCACAUCCCCCUACCCCCCCAGCCACUGUCCCAUCCCUGGAUGGCCUGUCCACAGAGAGCACUGUCUGUGUGGCCACUGGGGGAGGCAGCUGCAUCCCAGAGAUGAUGGUGUCCAGGGCAUGACGAGGAAGCUCUUUGUGUGGCCUGGAGACGUCCCGGGAGCUGGCUGGCGCCCACCUUCUCUCACUUCCUUACCACCUUCUUUCUUGUGUUGCUGCUUUCUCCUUCCCAGCUCUAAACUCCCAUGGUGCUGGAGCAGCCAGAGAAGAAGUGUUACUAGACCUGCCACUGCUACCUACAGUGAGCCCCAUUCUGCACACAGAGGCUGCGGACUCCUUUUUCCCAAUCAUAGACCAGAAUGCUUGUGAAAGAAGAUGUGGCUGUUCUGCAGGUUGGAGCUCUAGGAUCGGAAGAACUCAUCUGUAUCACAUAUGAUCCAGCUGAAAGUCCCUACAAACUGGGCCCUCUGUGUCUUUAGAAGCAGCUUCCAAGGGCAGGAAGACUUCCAGAGUGCAGGACUGAGCGUGCUGCUAAUCUUGUUCUGGUCGAGAGACUGAUGAGAGAGACAAGAAUUAUGGCGCGAGAAAAGCAGCAGCAGCAGCAGCAAGUCUGCAGAGGGGAAUGCCAAACUCGCUACUGGGUGUUUUUUUUUGUUUUGUUUUGUUUUGUUUUGUUUUGUUUUGUUUUGUUUGAUACAGAGUUUCACUCUGUCACCCAGGCUGGAGUAGAGUGGUGCCAUCUCAGCUCAUUGCAACCUCUGCCCCCUGGGUUCAAGCAAUUCUCCUGCCUCAGCCUUCCGAGUAGCUGGGAUUAUAGGCAUGUGCCACCAUGCCUGGCUAAUUUUUGUAUUUUUAGUAGAGACAGGGUUUUGCCAUGUUGGCCAGGCUGGUCUCAAACUACUGACCUCAAGUGAUCCGCCCGCCUGGCCCCCCAAAGUACUGGGAUUACAGGUGUGAGCCACCAUGCCUGGCCUGCUGUGAUUUUUCAUUGAACCUAAUUAACUCAUUUUUAGCCCCUAUUUUUGGUACAAUAAUAGAACUUAGGUUGUAAUCAACUGGUGGGUUCUUUCCGCACACUGCACAGAUAAGAUCAGUCCACAGAGACCACAGCGUUGCAGUAAAGAAAGAGUUUGAUGUGAGGCCAGCCACGUGGGAAAACUGGAGUUAUCACUCAAAUCAGUCUCCCCAAAGGCUUGGAGGUCAGGAUUUUUGUGGACAAUUUGGUGGGCAGGGAGCUAGGGAAUGGGUGUUGCUGAUGGGUAGGGGGUGAAAUCAUAGGGGUGUGGAAAACAGUCCUGAUGUGCUGAGUUUUCCUCUGGGUGGGGCCACAGGACCAGCUGAAUCAUGAAUCCAGGUGGGGCCAGUGUGAAGAACGUAUCAAAAAAUCAAUCUUAGGUUCUACAAUAGUGAUGUUAUCUAUAGGAGCAAUUGGAGAAGUCACAAAGCUUGUGACCCCUGGCCACAUGACUCCUGGGCAGUAAGAGAUUACUAUGUCUACAUUUUAGCAGAGUUCAUGCCUUUCCCACAACUCUAAUCUUGUAGCCCUUCAUUAAUCUUACAAAGGCGGUUUUCAGUCCCUGAGCAAGGAGGGGUUUAUUUUUGGGAGGGACUAUUAUCAUCCUUUAUUUCAGGUUAAACUAUAAACUAGAUUCCUGCCAAAGUUGGCUUGGUCUACGUCCAGGAAUGACAAGGACAGCUGGGAGGGCAGAAGCAAGAUGGAGUCAAUUAUGUCCAAUUUAUCUUACUGUCAUAAUUUUUCAAAGGCAGUUUCAAGGUUACUAUUCUCAUGAUUCAACACAUCCUCAAGGAGUGAGAUUCAGUCUGUGUAAGUGUAUCAUGACUUUCUAUAACACGCCUUGUCAUGCACUCUUCUACCCUGCUAGAAUUGGAGUCUGGCCUCAGCUGGUUCCUACCAGCAGUACUGCCAUCACCUCAUCCUCAUCUGCCCCAUCUGUUGUUUUGGAACCACUUGUGUCCUCUGAAAUGCAUAUGUUGAAGUCCUAACCACCUGUGCCUCAGAAUGGGACUAUGUUUGGAGAAAGGGUUUUAAAGAGGUACUUAAAGUUAAAUGAGAUCAUUACUGUGAACCCUGAUCCAAAUUGACUUAUGCCCUUAUAAGAAAAGGAAAUUUGGCCACUUACACUCACAGAGGAAGAAAUCAUUUGAAGACACAGAGAGAAGAGGGCCGAGGAGAGAGGUCUCAGAGAAACCAACCCAAUGACAUUUCGUCUUGGAUUUCCAGCCCCCAGAAUUACUGGAAAAUACAUUUUUCUUGUUUAGGCCACCCAAUCUGUACUACUUUGUUAUGGCAACCCUAGCAAACUAAUGCAGUCACCAACCCAGGGUGAAAAUGGGACAUUCCCAACUCUAGCUCUUAGGCCAAGCUUAUUUGUAAUAGAUUCUUGUUUUCAAAGGAUAUAGAUAUUGAGAUUCUCAAUGUAUUUGUUAAAAUACAUUGUUUCUUGUUAAAAGCAUAAGACUUUGAAAUGUCUCUGUGUUGCAGAUAUGUAGAUGUUCUGAGCCAUAAUUUUUGGAAAAUUCUUUCAAAGAAAAGGAAAUCUACUGGACAAAUAGCAUGAUUAAUGGGGAUCUAGUGACAAAAUAAUCUGCCCUAAUUGGAUUUGUGAUGUUUUUGCAACUUGAAAUUAGCUUCAAAAUCCAACAAUAAUACGAAAGAAUGUUCAGUAUCACGAAUCAAAUUAAAACCAUAAUUAAAUCACCUCCUUUCAUUAGGGUAGCUACUAUAAAAAAAAAGUAAAACAAAACAGAAAAUAGCAACUGUCGGCAAAGAUGUGGAGAAAUUGGAACCCUUGUGAAACCAUCCCACAGUGUUGACAAGAAUUGCAUGCUGGGUUCUGGACAGAAAUAGUUCCAAUUAAGUACUAAUCAGUCUGCACUUGGGCCCACUUACUCGUUGUUAAAAGUCAUGUAGCCCUGGAUGCUGACCAUGUACAUCUGCAUUGUUCCUAUAGAUAAGAUCUCUGACAUUAGAAUCAUAAGGCUUUUGUUUAAGGAUCACUUAUGAUGUUUUUCACACCCCAAAUUCCAGCAGCCAGUUUGAAGACUCCCACAGAGUAAUGGGAUCAAUAUGAGAAUACAGCUUCUUCAUCUCCCUAUCUCAUGACUUCACCCUCUACUCUUCCAACCAAUCAGUGAUCUCCACAUUGCAGCCCAUUCCAACACUCUUAAAAACCCCUACCCCCAAAUGCCUCAGGGAGACAGAUUUGAGGUUUCUUCUCAUCUCAUUUAGUGACCCUAUGAUUAAACCCCUUUCCUUGCU